AGCAGCCGCGGUAAUUCCAGCUCCAAUAGCGUAUAUUAAAGUUGUUGCAGUUAAAAAGCUCGUAGUUGAAUUUCAGGCCUGGCUGGACGGUCCGCCCUUCGGGUGAGUACUGUCUGUGGUCGGGUCCUACCUUCUGGCGAAGCGUCAUGGCCUUAACCGGCCGUGGCGGGGAACCAGGACUUUUACUGUGAAAAAAUUAGAGUGUUCAAAGCAGGCAAUCGCUUGGAUACAUUAGCAUGGAAUAAUGGAAUAGGACAAUGGUUCUAUUUGUUGGUUUCUAGGACCGUUGUAAUGAUUAAUAGGGAUAGUUGGGGCAUUAGUAUUCAAUUGUCAGAGGUGAAAUUCUUGGAUUUAUUGAAGACUAACUACUGCGAAAGCAUUUGCCAAGGAUGUUUUCAUUAAU
This 403-nucleotide ribosomal RNA is filed under the name uncultured Paraglomus. RNAcentral's name for it is "SSU rRNA". It matches the Rfam family "Eukaryotic small subunit ribosomal RNA", at positions 569 to 977 of the family's 1831-position model. Lineage: Eukaryota; Fungi; Glomeromycota; Glomeromycetes; Paraglomerales; Paraglomeraceae. The record is from RNAcentral.